Drosophila melanogaster (fruit fly) is the source of this 351-nucleotide non-coding RNA. Lineage: Eukaryota; Metazoa; Arthropoda; Insecta; Diptera; Drosophilidae. The record is from Ensembl.
AAUUACCAACGGAGAACGGUGAAUGCCCACGUAGAAUAGACUGCUUACCUGGUUACCUUACCUUUUGGCCAGAAUCAUCAUUUCCAGCUAGUGGCCAUUAUUUGAUCAAAAGCAACAGGCGACGGCGACUAACUGGCUGACAACCGAGCAACGUAAACGCGUUUUGGUCAAAACGAAUAAGAGCGGGAGCGAGAGAGAGAGUGGGAAAAUCAUCGGGAGCGCACAGGUAUUGGUGUGCGUGGGCCGCUUUUUUGAGGAGCAACCGUGUCACGACCCCCAACUACUUGCACUUAUCGAUAUCGGAAUGUAAACUCCCCUUUUAAAGGUGCAAGAUAAAUAAUUUACUCGAAC